RNAcentral lists this ribosomal RNA (895 nucleotides) under Fusarium eumartii. RNAcentral's name for it is "LSU rRNA". It matches the Rfam family "Eukaryotic large subunit ribosomal RNA", at positions 38 to 961 of the family's 3401-position model. Lineage: Eukaryota; Fungi; Ascomycota; Sordariomycetes; Hypocreales; Nectriaceae. The record is from RNAcentral.
GCAUAUCAAUAAGCGGAGGAAAAGAAACCAACAGGGAUUGCCCCAGUAACGGCGAAKUGAAGCGGCAACAGCUCAAAUUUGAAAUCUGGCUCUCGGGCCCGAAGUUGUAAUUUGUAGAGGAUGCUUUUGGUGAGGUGCCUUCCGAGUUCCCUGGAACGGGACGCCAUAGAGGGUGAGAGCCCCGUCUGGUUGGACGCCGAACCUCUGUAAAGCUCCUUCGACGAGUCGAGUAGUUUGGGAAUGCUGCUCUAAAUGGGAGGUAUAUGUCUUCUAAAGCUAAAUACCGGCCAGAGACCGAUAGCGCACAAGUAGAGUGAUCGAAAGAUGAAAAGAACUUUGAAAAGAGAGUUAAACAGUACGUGAAAUUGUUGAAAGGGAAGCGCUUGUGACCAGACUUGGGCUUGGUUGAUCAUCCGGGGUUCUCCCCGGUGCACUCUUCCGGCCCAGGCCAGCAUCAGUUCGCCCUGGGGGACAAAGGCAUCGGGAACGUGGCUCUCUCCGGGGAGUGUUAUAGCCCGUUGCGUAAUACCCUGUGGCGGACUGAGGUUCGCGCAUUCGCAAGGAUGCUGGCGUAAUGGUCAUCAGUGACCCGUCUUGAAACACGGACCAAGGAGUCGUCUUCGUAUGCGAGUGUUCGGGUGUCAAACCCCUACGCGAAAUGAAAGUGAACGCAGGUGAGAGCUUCGGCGCAUCAUCGACCGAUCCUGAUGUUUUCGGAUGGAUUUGAGUAAGAGCAUACGGGGCCGGACCCGAAAGAAGGUGAACUAUGCCUGUGUAGGGUGAAGCCAGAGGAAACUCUGGUGGAGGCUCGCAGCGGUUCUGACGUGCAAAUCGAUCGUCAAACAUGGGCAUGGGGGCGAAAGACUAAUCGAACCUUCUAGUAGCUGGUUUCCGC